This 69-nucleotide transfer RNA is filed under the name Schistosoma mekongi. Its description in RNAcentral is "tRNA-Tyr". The record is from RNAcentral. Lineage: Eukaryota; Metazoa; Platyhelminthes; Trematoda; Strigeidida; Schistosomatidae.
AGUAAUAUUUGUGUUUUAUUAUAAGGUAUAGUCCUUAUUGGUUUAGUGUAGUUAGCUCUUAUGUUUCUU